GAGUUUGAUCCUGGCUCAGGAUGAACGCUGGCGGCGUGCCUAACACAUGCAAGUCGAACGGAGUUCUUAAGGAAUGCGGCUUCGGCCAAAUGACUUUUGAACUUAGUGGCGGACGGGUGAGUAACGCGUGAGCAACCUGCCUUUCAGAGGGGGAUAACAUUUGGAAACAGAUGCUAAUACCGCAUAAGAUUACAGUACCGCAUGAUACAGUGAUCAAAGGAGCAAUCCGCUGAAAGAUGGGCUCGCGUCCGAUUAGAUAGUUGGUGAGGUAACGGCUCACCAAGUCGACGAUCGGUAGCCGGACUGAGAGGUUGAACGGCCACAUUGGGACUGAGACACGGCCCAGACUCCUACGGGAGGCAGCAGUGGGGAACAUUGCAC
RNAcentral lists this ribosomal RNA (381 nucleotides) under uncultured microorganism. RNAcentral's name for it is "bacterial SSU rRNA". It matches the Rfam family "Bacterial small subunit ribosomal RNA", at positions 9 to 369 of the family's 1533-position model. The record is from RNAcentral.